RNAcentral lists this unclassified non-coding RNA (275 nucleotides) under uncultured fungus. RNAcentral describes it as "partial contains small subunit ribosomal RNA, internal transcribed spacer 1, and 5.8S ribosomal RNA". The stretch from base 1 to 73 matches the Rfam family "Eukaryotic small subunit ribosomal RNA", at positions 1759 to 1831 of the family's 1831-position model. The record is from RNAcentral. Lineage: Eukaryota; Fungi.
GCAAACUUGGUCAUUUAGAGGAAGUAAAAGUCGUAACAAGGUCUCCGUUGGUGAACCAGCGGAGGGAUCAUUACCGAGUGCCCACGCUCAGACCCCGCCGCGGACCCGAGACGAUUUGCUUCGGCGGGAGCCCCCCACCGGGCGCCCGCCGGAGGCCCCACAUGCUAGGCUCUCAGCGGCGUCACGCCGCGCAUGGUCCUCUGAAUUAGCUUCCGAAAUCAGUCAAAACUCUCAACAACGGAUCUCUUGGUUCCGGCAUCGAUGAAGAACGCAGC